ACGCUCGACACCUACUGGAGGCAGCAGUUGGGAAUAUUGGACAAUGGAGGAAACUCUGAUCCAGUGACGCCGCGUGAAGGAAGAAGGUCUUCGGAUUGUAAACUUAUUUUGUCAGGGAAGAAAAAAUGACUGUACCUGAAGAAAAAGCACCGGCUAACUACGUGCCGGCAGCCGCGGUAAUCUGAGCGGGCUGGCAAGGC
RNAcentral lists this ribosomal RNA (200 nucleotides) under uncultured bacterium. Its description in RNAcentral is "partial 16S ribosomal RNA". It matches the Rfam family "Bacterial small subunit ribosomal RNA", at positions 328 to 539 of the family's 1533-position model. The record is from RNAcentral.